CACUGCCACGUUAAGGUCUCAGGACAAACCUCUGGCUGCAAUGCAAUUUUUGUAUUGACCAGAGCUUGCUUCUCUUGCCAUAAGUUGACAAGCUUGGAAAGGAAUCCCUUAUUAACUGUGCCAAGACCAGCAUGUCGUCAAAGUUGAUAGCUGGUGAUAGCGACUUCUUUGCCAACUUGGUUGUAGAGGCAGUGCAAGCUGUAAAGAUGACCAAUGCUAGGGGGGAAGUUAAAUAC
Molecule: non-coding RNA, 236 nt
Organism: Arachis ipaensis
Lineage: Eukaryota; Viridiplantae; Streptophyta; Magnoliopsida; Fabales; Fabaceae
Source: RefSeq, a predicted model, not a curated record